GAUGAACGCUAGCUACAGGCUUAACACAUGCAAGUCGCGGGGCAGCAUGGGGGUUGCUUGCAAUCCCUGAUGGCGACCGGCGCACGGGUGAGUAACGCGUAUCCAACCUGCCCUUCACCACGGGAUAACCCGGCGAAAGUCGGACUAAUACCGUAUGUUGUCCAUUGACGGCCUCCGAUUUGGACGAAAGGCUUGGCGGUGAGGGAUGGGGAUGCGUCCGAUUAGCCAGACGGCGGGGUAACGGCCCACCGUGGCUACGAUCGGUAGGGGUUCUGAGAGGAAGGUCCCCCACACUGGAACUGAGACACGGUCCAGACUCCUACGGGAGGCAGCAGUGAGGAAUAUUGGUCAAUGGGCGUAAGCCUGAACCAGCCAAGUAGCGUGCAGGAUGACGGCCCUAUGGGUUGUAAACUGCUUUUAUGCGGGGAUAAAGUGGCCCACGUGUGGGCUUUUGCAGGUACCGCAUGAAUAAGGACCGGCUAAUUCCGUG
Molecule: ribosomal RNA, 490 nt
Filed under: uncultured bacterium
Lineage: Bacteria
Description: partial 16S ribosomal RNA
Rfam family: Bacterial small subunit ribosomal RNA
Source: RNAcentral